RNAcentral lists this small RNA (215 nucleotides) under Arabidopsis thaliana (thale cress). Its description in RNAcentral is "ATSL121060". Lineage: Eukaryota; Viridiplantae; Streptophyta; Magnoliopsida; Brassicales; Brassicaceae. The record is from RNAcentral.
AAAUGAUAUAUCUUGCAUUUUGGAAUAAGAAUAGUAUGGUUUUGCCGGAAAAACAUAAGCAGUGCUUCCUAUAAUGAGUAAACACUACAACAAAGUAAAUUCAACAGAGCACAUUAAAUCUUAAAGAGAGAAAACCAAGAACCUGACAGCGAAACUCCCUGAGGACUCAACCUAUGGACUCUCGAUAACGGAUCCAAGUGACAACGAAUGAUGCU